UACGAGUGCCCCAAGCGUUAUCCGGAAUCAUUGGGCGUAAAGGGUGUGUAGGUGGUUGUGUUAGUCUUUUGUUAAAACCCGGGGCUCAACCUCGGAUAUGCGAAAGAAACGGCACGACUAGAGGGUGCGAGGGGUCUGUGGAACUCAUGGAGUAGGGGUGAAAUCCGUUGAUAUCAUGGGGAACACCAAAAGCGAAGGCAGCAGACUGGAGCAUUCCUGACACUGAAACACGAAAGCGUGGGUAGCGAAUGGG
This 253-nucleotide ribosomal RNA is filed under the name uncultured bacterium. RNAcentral's name for it is "partial 16S ribosomal RNA". It matches the Rfam family "Bacterial small subunit ribosomal RNA", at positions 524 to 776 of the family's 1533-position model. The record is from RNAcentral.